AAUGAAGAAACAUAAUAUGUUUUUGAAUCUAUUGCAUGUUAGAUAUUCUUCUUUUACUUGAUCAAUUGGUAACAGUACUCUUACUGUUACUAAUUGGGUUGCUUGGACAGUUUUGUUAUAGCUGCAAGAGUGAAUAUUUUGAUUCAAUUAUUCAUAAAAAUUAUUUGAUUUAUUAAAUGCUUGUGGCUGUAGAUUAUAUGGAACUCUUCAACA
RNAcentral lists this unclassified non-coding RNA (213 nucleotides) under Hevea brasiliensis (rubber tree). Lineage: Eukaryota; Viridiplantae; Streptophyta; Magnoliopsida; Malpighiales; Euphorbiaceae. The record is from RNAcentral.